CCUACGGGAGGCAGCAGUGAGGAAUAUUGGUCAAUGGACGGAAGUCUGAACCAGCCAUGCCGCGUGCAGGAAGACGGCUCUAUGAGUUGUAAACUGCUUUUGUACAAGGGUAAACCUGAAUACGUGUAUUCAGCUGAAAGUAAUGUACGAAUAAGGAUCGGCUAACUCCGUGCCAGCAGCCGCGGUAAUACGGAGGAUCCAAGCGUUAUCCGGAUUUAUUGGGUUUAAAGGGUGCGUAGGCGGAUUGAUAAGUUUGAGGUGAAAUGUCCGAGCUUAACUCGGGAACUGCCUCUAAUACUGUUGGUCUAGAGAGUAGAUGCGGUAGGCGGAAUGUAUGGUGUAGCGGUGAAAUGCUUAGAGAUCAUACAGAACACCGAUUGCGAAGGCAGCUUACCAAUCUAUAUCUGACGUUGAGGCACGAAAGCGUGGGGAGCAAACAGGAUUAGAUACCCUAGUAGUC
RNAcentral lists this ribosomal RNA (460 nucleotides) under uncultured bacterium. Its description in RNAcentral is "partial 16S ribosomal RNA". It matches the Rfam family "Bacterial small subunit ribosomal RNA", at positions 338 to 795 of the family's 1533-position model. The record is from RNAcentral.